RNAcentral lists this ribosomal RNA (804 nucleotides) under Triticum aestivum (bread wheat). RNAcentral describes it as "partial small subunit ribosomal RNA". The record is from RNAcentral. Lineage: Eukaryota; Viridiplantae; Streptophyta; Magnoliopsida; Poales; Poaceae.
AUGAGCAGGGUGUGCGUCACCGGAGCCGCCGGCUAUAUAGCCGCCUGGCUCGUCGGGAAGCUGCUGCAGCGAGGCUGCAUCGUCCACGCCACCUUGAGAUCCCUCCUGGAUGAGGAGAAGACGGCGGUGCUGACGGUGCUGCCUGGCGCGGCGGAGCGGCUGACGCUGUUCGAGGCGGACAUUUACAACGCCACCACCUUCGAGCCGGCGAUCCAGGGCUGCGAGUUCGUCUUCCUCGUCGCCACCCCGCUGAUGCACGACAACAGUAGCACCAAGGCAUACGUGGCAUCCAAGAGCCUGUCGGAGCAGGAGCUGCUGAGGCACAACGAAUCGGAGGGCGGCAGGGCAUUUGAGGUGGUGACAUUGGCGUGUGGGCUCGUCGGCGGUGACACGCUCCACCCUGUCUUGUCGAGCAGGAUGAGCAGUGUCACGAUGGUUGUGGCGGCCCUCACGGGCAACGAGAUCCACCACAACGCCCUCUGCUUCAUGCAGGCGCUUCUGGGGUCCGCGCCGCUGGUGCACAUCGACGACGCCUGCGCGGCGCACCUCUUCUGCAUGGACCAGCCAUCCAUGGCUGGCCGGUUCCUCUGCGCCGCCGGCUACCCCACCAUGCAGGAUUACGUCGCCCGCUUCGCGGCCAAGUACCCGGAGCACAAGAUAAUUCUCAAGGAGUUGGCAGGAGAGGGGGUGAGGGUGCCGGGUGAUUCGAGCAAGCUUGUGGAGCUGGGGUUUAGGUUCAAGUAUAGUGUGGAGGAGACGCUGGACUGCAGCGUUGAAUGCGCCAAGAGAAUGGGAGAGCUCUGA